CCUACGGGCGGCAGCAGUGAGGAAUAUUGGUCAAUGGCCGGAAGGCUGAACCAGCCAAGCCGCGUGAGGGAGGAAGGCGCAGAGCGUCGCAGACCUCUUUUGCCGGGGGACAAAAGGCCGGACUCGUCCGGUCCUGAGGGUACCCGGAGAAAAGGCAUCGGCUCACUCCGUGCCAGCCGCCGCGGUACUACGGGGGGUGCGAGCGUUAUCGGGAUUCAUGGGGUUUAGCGGGUGCGCGGGGGGGUCUUUAAGCCGGCGCUGAAAUCGCGGGGCUCAACCCCGCCGAGCCGUUGGAACUGGGGGCCGUGAGUGCGGCGGAGGCAGGCGGAAUGCGUGGUGUAGCGGUGAAAUGCAUAGAUAUCGGGCAGAACCCCGAUGGCGAAGGCAGCGCGCCGUGCGGCGACUGACGCUGAGGCACGAAAGCGCGGGGAUCGAACAGGAUUAGAUACCCCUGUAGUC
RNAcentral lists this ribosomal RNA (459 nucleotides) under uncultured bacterium. RNAcentral's name for it is "partial 16S ribosomal RNA". It matches the Rfam family "Bacterial small subunit ribosomal RNA", at positions 338 to 795 of the family's 1533-position model. The record is from RNAcentral.